GAAUGACUGGGCGUUAAUCGGACGCCGACUGAUGUAUUACCUCAGAUUCCACUCCCCGGGGUGCACCUGUGAAUUGCAUUUUAGGAUUAGCCAGCAGCCUUUCUUCCCGGGGGGUAGAAUUUCAUGUGUAGCGGUGAAAUGCGUAGAGAUGUGGAGGAAUACCGGUGGCGAAGGCGGCCCCCUGGACAAAGACUGACGCUCAGGUGCGAAAGCGUGGGGAGCAAACAGGAUUAGAUACCCUGGUAGUCCACGCUGUAAACGAUGUCGAUUUGGAGGUUGUUCCCUUGAGGCGUGGCUUUCGGAGCUAACGCGUUAAAUCGACCGCCUGGGGAGUACGGCCGCAAGGUUAAAACUCAAAUGAAUUGACGGGGGCCCGCACAAGCGGUGGAGCAUGUGGUUUAAUUCGAUGCAACGCGAAGAACCUUACCUACUCUUGACAUCCAGAGAAGUUAGCAGAGAUGCUUUGGUGCCUUCGGGAACUCUGAGACAGGUGCUGCAUGGCUGUCGUCAGCUCGUGUUGUGAAAUGUUGGGUUAAGUCCCGCAACGAGCGCAACCCUUAUCCUUUGUUGCCAGCGAUUCGGUCGGGAACUCAAAGGAGACUGCCGGUGAUAAACCGGAGGAAGGUGGGGAUGACGUCAAGUCAUCAUGGCCCUUACGAGUAGGGCUACACACGUGCUACAAUGGCGUAUACAAAGAGAAGCGACCUCGCGAGAGCAAGCGGAACUCAUAAAGUACGUCGUAGUCCGGAUUGGAGUCUGCAACUCGACUCCAUGAAGUCGGAAUCGCUAGUAAUCGUAGAUCAGAAUGCUACGGUGAAUACGUUCCCGGGCCUUGUACACACCGCCCGUCACACCAUGGGAGUGGGUUGCAAAAGAAGUAGGUAGCUUAACUUUCGGGAGGGCGCUUACCACUUUGUGAUUCAUGACUGGGGUGAAGUCGUAGAGA
Molecule: ribosomal RNA, 946 nt
Filed under: Providencia vermicola
Lineage: Bacteria; Pseudomonadati; Pseudomonadota; Gammaproteobacteria; Enterobacterales; Morganellaceae
Description: bacterial SSU rRNA
Rfam family: Bacterial small subunit ribosomal RNA
Source: RNAcentral